AGAACGAACGCUGGCGGCAUGCCUAACACAUGCAAGUCGAACGAGACCUUCGGGUCUAGUGGCGCACGGGUGCGUAACGCGUGGGAAUCUGCCCUGGGGUACGGAAUAACUCAGAGAAAUUUGAGCUAAUACCGUAUGAUGACGUAAGUCCAAAGAUUUAUCGCCCUGGGAUGAGCCCGCGUAGGAUUAGCUUGUUGGUGAGGUAAAAGCUCACCAAGGCGACGAUCCUUAGCUGGUCUGAGAGGAUGAUCAGCCACACUGGGACUGAGACACGGCCCAGACUCCUACGGGAGGCAGCAGUGGGGAAUAUUGGACAAUGGGCGAAAGCCUGAUCCAGCAAUGCCGCGUGAGUGAUGAAGGCCUUAGGGUUGUAAAGCUCUUUACCCGGGAAGAUAAUGACUGUACCGGGAGAAUAAGCCCGGCUAACUCCGUGCCAGCAGCCGC
RNAcentral lists this ribosomal RNA (444 nucleotides) under uncultured bacterium. RNAcentral describes it as "SSU rRNA". It matches the Rfam family "Bacterial small subunit ribosomal RNA", at positions 26 to 518 of the family's 1533-position model. The record is from RNAcentral.